This 502-nucleotide ribosomal RNA is filed under the name uncultured bacterium. Its description in RNAcentral is "bacterial SSU rRNA". It matches the Rfam family "Bacterial small subunit ribosomal RNA", at positions 355 to 848 of the family's 1533-position model. The record is from RNAcentral.
UGGGGAAUAUUGCACAAUGGGCGAAAGCCUGAUGCAGCCAUGCCGCGUGUGUGAAGAAGGCUCUAGGGUUGUAAAGCACUUUCAGUAGGGAGGAAAGGUUGAUGGUUAAUACCCAUCAGCUGUGACGUUACCUACAGAAGAAGCACCGGCUAACUCCGUGCCAGCAGCCGCGGUAAUACGGAGGGUGCAAGCGUUAAUCGGAAUUACUGGGCGUAAAGCGUGCGUAGGCGGCUACCUAAGUUGGAUGUGAAAGCCCCGGGCUCAACCUGGGAACUGCAUCCAAAACUGGGUGGCUAGAGUGCGAGAGAGGAGUGUGGAAUUUCCUGUGUAGCGGUGAAAUGCGUAGAUAUAGGAAGGAAACACCAGUGGCGAAGGCGACACUCUGGCUUGACACUGACGCUGAGGUACGAAAGCGUGGGAGCAAACAGGAUUAGAUACCCUGGUAGUCCACGCCGUAAAACGAUGUCUACUAGUUGUCGGUUGUCUUGUACGACUGGUAACG